UCCGAUAUGGUGUAGUGGCUAACAUUAUCGCCUCUCACGCCAUAGCCCGGGGUUCAAUUCCCCGUGUCGGAA
This 72-nucleotide transfer RNA is filed under the name Wolfiporia cocos MD-104 SS10. RNAcentral describes it as "tRNA-Glu (CTC) (tRNA-Glu-CTC-3-1)". It matches the Rfam family "tRNA". From Rfam's summary of the family: Transfer RNA (tRNA) molecules are approximately 80 nucleotides in length. Their secondary structure includes four short double-helical elements and three loops (D, anti-codon, and T loops). Further hydrogen bonds mediate the characteristic L-shaped molecular structure. tRNAs have two regions of fundamental functional importance: the anti-codon, which is responsible for specific mRNA codon recognition, and the 3' end, to which the tRNAs corresponding amino acid is attached (by aminoacyl-tRNA synthetases). tRNAs cope with the degeneracy of the genetic code in two manners: having more than one tRNA (with a specific anti-codon) for a particular amino acid; and 'wobble' base-pairing, i.e. permitting non-standard base-pairing at the 3rd anti-codon position. The record is from RNAcentral. Lineage: Eukaryota; Fungi; Basidiomycota; Agaricomycetes; Polyporales; Phaeolaceae.